GGUCCGGUAGUUCAGUUGGUUAGAAUACCGGCCUGUCACGCCGGGGGUCGCGGGUUCGAGUCCCGUCCGGACCG
This 74-nucleotide transfer RNA is filed under the name Leadbetterella sp. Its description in RNAcentral is "tRNA-Asp". It matches the Rfam family "tRNA". From Rfam's summary of the family: Transfer RNA (tRNA) molecules are approximately 80 nucleotides in length. The record is from RNAcentral. Lineage: Bacteria; Pseudomonadati; Bacteroidota; Cytophagia; Cytophagales; Leadbetterellaceae.